GGCCCAAUGGUCUAGUGGUAUGAUUCGCCCUUCGGGUUAAAGGACAAUCCUCACGCUCAGCGUGACUGGGCGAGGCCCCGUGUUCGAAUCACGGUUGGGCCC
RNAcentral lists this transfer RNA (102 nucleotides) under Colletotrichum somersetense. Its description in RNAcentral is "tRNA-Pro". The record is from RNAcentral. Lineage: Eukaryota; Fungi; Ascomycota; Sordariomycetes; Glomerellales; Glomerellaceae.